GGUUAAGGGUCAGGGUUGGGGGCUGUGGGCGGGAUACGCUCUCUGGAGCUCCAAGCCCCGCUGGAGAGUGGGGGUCUGGUUCCAGGGGGGCCCGCGAACGCGAACCGGGAUCCGCCCCGGCUGGAGGAGAGGGGCCCGGGGCGGGAGCCCGGCGCGGACUCGGAGCUGGGGUGGCCUCUAGAAGCGCCGACUCUGGUGAACCGAUCUACUGAGGGGGAUGGCGUGGAGCGCGCGCUCGGCGAUCGGCGCCACCUGCGGGUCGGGGAGGGCGAGGCGGCGAUGCCCGGAGGCGCGGGCGCAACAGAACUGUGCCACGAAGUCGUCGUGUCUGGCCCACGUUUGCAUCCCCUACAAAGGCGGCCUGAAAUUGAUGAAAGCGUUCAGUGUCCGUUAAACUCCAGCCUGCAUUAGAAAGAUCUGCAUCAAGCUGAAUGUGUUACCCAGAUGGAACUGGAACUCGAGAUUCUCCAAUCUCAGCCUCCCCGAGUGCAGAGAUUACAGGUGUGAGCCACCUCCCAGCUCCCGUGUAUCUUGUCUGAUCUUGCUAUGUAGUUCCGGCUGGCCCUGAACUCACUGACCUCAAACUCAAAGCAAUCCUCCUGCCUCAGCUUCCCAGGUACUGGGAUUCCAGGCAUAUGCCACCAUACCCAGCUUUUGAAAGACCUCUUUAAGUAAUUGAGAUGGGCCAACUUUCCUUUCUGGCAACCAAAACAGCUAAAUAAGUAGUGAAC
Molecule: long non-coding RNA, 731 nt
Filed under: Heterocephalus glaber (naked mole-rat)
Lineage: Eukaryota; Metazoa; Chordata; Mammalia; Rodentia; Bathyergidae
Description: lncRNA (ENSHGLG00000046579.1)
Source: RNAcentral